CAGGGAAAGGAAAAAAAAAAAAAACAAUAACAGGAAAACUCAUCAUCCAGCAGCAGCAGCAGAAUUAUUUUUUCUCCCUUCUUCUCCGCUCUGCUCCUCCUCCUUCUUCUCCCUCAACAACAAUAAUGAUAAUACAACAGCAAAUAAACAGCAGCAGCAGUAUUGAUUUCAUUUUUACACAUCUAUUUGUGACAGCACCUCUUAUCUUGAAGAAAACAACAAGAUAUACUUUACUAUUA
RNAcentral lists this non-coding RNA (239 nucleotides) under Heterosigma akashiwo. The record is from RNAcentral. Lineage: Eukaryota; Raphidophyceae; Chattonellales; Chattonellaceae.